AGAGUUUGAUCCUGGCUCAGAUUGAACGCUGGCGGCAUGCCUUACACAUGCAAGUCGAACGGUAGAAGGAGCAAUCCUUCGAGAGUGGCGAACGGGUGAGUAAUAUAUCGGAACGUGCCCAGUCGUGGGGGAUAACGUAGAGAAAUUUACGCUAAUACCGCAUACGAUCUAAGGAUGAAAGCGGGGGACCGUAAGGCCUCGCGCGACUGGAGCGGCUGAUAUCAGAUUAGCUUGUUGGUGAGGUAAAAGCUCACCAAGGCGACGAUCUGUAGCUGGUUUGAGAGAACGACCAGCCACACUGGGACUGAGACACGGCCCAGACUCCUACGGGAGGCAGCAGUGGGGAAUUUUGGACAAUGGGCGAAAGCCUGAUCCAGCAAUGCCGCGUGCAGGAAGAAGGCCUUCGGGUUGUAAACUGCUUUUGUACGGAACGAAAAGGUCUGCCCUAAUACGGCGGGCCCAUGACGUAC
RNAcentral lists this ribosomal RNA (470 nucleotides) under uncultured Comamonadaceae bacterium. Its description in RNAcentral is "bacterial SSU rRNA". It matches the Rfam family "Bacterial small subunit ribosomal RNA", at positions 8 to 483 of the family's 1533-position model. Lineage: Bacteria; Pseudomonadati; Pseudomonadota; Betaproteobacteria; Burkholderiales; Comamonadaceae. The record is from RNAcentral.